Molecule: long non-coding RNA, 1180 nt
Organism: Mastomys coucha (southern multimammate mouse)
Lineage: Eukaryota; Metazoa; Chordata; Mammalia; Rodentia; Muridae
Exons: 3
Source: RefSeq, a predicted model, not a curated record
GUUAAUGACUGCUUCCAUUUCCUUAGGGAUUUUAAGUCUAUGUAAGUUGUUUAUCUAAUCUUGAUUUCACUUUGGCAAGUGGUAGCUGUGAAGAAAAUCAUCCAUUUAUCUUGGAUUUUCAAGUUCUGCGGAGUACAGGUUUUUAAAGUAUGACUUGAUGACUCUCUGGAUUUCCUCUAUGUCUGUUGUUACGUCCUAGAGAGAAGGCUCUUAUUGUGGGAUACUACAAAUCAUGGCAAUACUCUCCAUAUGUCAAAAAGCAAGAAGGAAGAGUUUUGAUUUCCCAUAAAGAAAUGAUUAAUGUCUCAGGAGUGCUUCUAAGCAGAGAUGGUGAGCCUCUGCACCCAAGCUGAACAGCUGCUAUACUUCUGUGGAGCUGCGUAUUGCCCUGUGAGGUUUCAGAAGCAGAAGAUCCACAAACAAGAGUCUGAGACCAUGCUCAUCCAAGAAAGCUGCAGGUCCCGCACCACGAGAACCUUGACUCCUCUGACCUGGCUCCUGUACAAUUCCCGCAGCACAGGUCUCCACCCGGCUCCCAAAGCAGACACCCUCCACCUCAGGGGCACUUAUCCUCCAGAACACAAAAUCGCCUCAUUUUCUCACUCUAUCAGAUUUCUAUUCCAACAGCCGACUAUCCAUAGCCACCCUCCAUGAAAAAACAACUUCAGGUACUUCCUGUUUCUUGUCUUGUUCUAUCUCCUACAUAAAAUUCAAGACAUUCUUUUUCAUGUAUGUAUGUAUGAUGUGUCUUCUAGAACAACAUGCUCUGUGAAAGGUGAGACUGAUUCCUUUCAGCUAUAGCAUAUUCUCAGGAUCUGUUAGUAGGACCUGAUGCUAAGUACGUUAUAGUACUUACGAAUGAAUGAACGGAUGAUAAACAUCAACACUGUGGCUCUCCUCUGCUCCUCAUAGACUCUUUCAAGCUGCUAUGGCCCAACUACAAAUGCCUUCAAGAUAGACAAGCUGGGAUUAGGUUCUGUUGAGAUCCUCAUCCGCACUGAACUGUGACCAAGGGCUCCCUCAGCGAAGACUCUACAGUUAGACACUUCCUUAGCCAUUAUUUAAUAUCUCAUUUUAUAGAUCUAGAGACUGACAGAGAAGUGGCUUGCUUACGGCAAACAUUUAGGUUUGUAGGAAUUUUUUGCUGAAUGCUAUAGAAACUUUGAUUCUACUAAUAUAA